This 1588-nucleotide ribosomal RNA is filed under the name Ganonema farinosum. RNAcentral's name for it is "LSU rRNA". It matches the Rfam family "Eukaryotic large subunit ribosomal RNA", at positions 437 to 2166 of the family's 3401-position model. Lineage: Eukaryota; Rhodophyta; Florideophyceae; Nemaliales; Liagoraceae. The record is from RNAcentral.
GUGGUGUCGCUUGUUCAGCGCUUCGGCGUGCAUUCUGGCGGUACCUUGACGUCGUGGCUGGCUGGUUUGUGAUUUUGACGUUCCGGCUGGUGAGGGCUCCCUAACGGUGAGGACGACGACAAAAUGACGCAAUACGACCCGUCUUGAAACACGGACCAAGGAGUCUAGCACGGCUGCGAGUCGAAGGGUGUAAAACCCAAGGGCGCAGUGAAAGCGAAUCUUAAAGCAAAUUGGGGAGGCGUUGCGUUUUCAACAAAAUGUCCUACCUUGAGCAUUUGUGCUGGGACCCGAAAGAUGGUGAACUAUGCCGGAGUAGGGCAAAGCCAGAGGAAACUCUGGUGGAGGCUCGUAGCGAUGCUGACGUGCAAAUCGCUCGUCGAACUUGGGUAUAGGGGCGAAAGACUAAUCGAACUAUCUAGUAGCUGGUUCCCUCCGAAGUUUCUCUCAGGAUAGCGGGCCGACAUAUGUUGUUUUGUGCGGUAAAGCGAAUGAUUAGUGCAUUUGGUGUCUAAUAGAUGUCGGGCGAUUCUCAAACUUUAAAUGCGCAAGGGGGUGGCUGCUUAAUUGAGCCUACUCUUUGAAAAACGUCGGCCCUGUGGGCCACUUUUGGUAAGCAGAACUGGCGAUAAGGGAUGAACCUUAAGCGCGGUUAAGGCGCCGCAUUGCCCGCUUAUAGACCCCACAAAAGGUGUUGAUUCAUUUAGACAGCAGGACGGUGGCCAUGGAAGUCGGAAUCCGCUAAGGAGUGUGUAACAACUCACCUGCCGAAUGAAUUAGCCCUGAAAAUGGAUGGCGCUGAAGCGGGCAGCCGACACCGCGCCGUUCCGGCGAGACGAUGCCGGGAUGAGUAGGAGGGCGUGGCGGUCAGUGACGCAGGCGAGGGUGCAGACCCCGCUGAAACGGCCGCUAGUGCAGAUCUUGGUGGUAGUAGCAAAUAUUCAAGCGAGAUCCUUGAAGGGCGAAGCGGGGAAGGGUUCCACGCAAACAUCGAUUGGGCGUGGGUGAGUCGUUCCUAAGCCGAGUGGCAAUUGCUAAGUAGCGGCGAAAGGGAAGCGGGUUAAAAUUCCCGCACACGGAUAUGGAGGCGGCGACGCAAGCAGAGGCAAAUACGCUGGCGAGGGCGCUGGGCAGAGUUGUCUUUUCUGUUUGACCGGCAUCGCGCUGUGUGGAAUCCGCUUAUCGGGAGAAACACGCGCGGGGAGGGGCAGAGCGUCAGGUCUUUUCUGGCGUCCGGCUCGCCCUCGACGGCCCUUGAAAAUUUGCCCGCGAACUAAUUUCAUGCUGUGACGUACCGAUAACCGCAUCAGGUCCCCAAGGUGAACAGCCUCUGCUCAAUAUGAACAAUGCAGGUAAGGGAAGUCGGCAAAAUAGACCCGUAACUUUGGGAAAAGGGUUGGCUCUAGUGGAGCGGGGGUUUUCAAAGGGAGCACACCUGCACUUGCCGCAGGGCGGAUGUGGCUAGCUCACGCUGGACGUGUCUGCUCCGUGUCUUGCGCGGGGGUCGUUUCUCGCCCUCAGCAUGCUCCAGACUAGAACUGCAACGGGCAAAGGGAAUCCGACUGUUUAAUUAAAACAAAGCAUUGCGAGG